RNAcentral lists this ribosomal RNA (497 nucleotides) under uncultured bacterium. RNAcentral describes it as "partial 16S ribosomal RNA". It matches the Rfam family "Bacterial small subunit ribosomal RNA", at positions 28 to 507 of the family's 1533-position model. The record is from RNAcentral.
GAUGAACGCUGGCGGCGUGCCUAAUACAUGCAAGUCGAGCGAACAGACGAGGAGCUUGCUCCUCUGACGUUAGCGGCGGACGGGUGAGUAACACGUGGAUAACCUACCUAUAAGACUGGGAUAACUUCGGGAAACCGGAGCUAAUACCGGAUAAUAUAUUGAACCGCAUGGUUCAAUAGUGAAAGACGGUUUUGCUGUCUCUUAUAGAUGGAUCCGCGCCGCAUUAGCUAGUUGGUAAGGUAACGGCUUACCAAGGCGACGAUGCGUAGCCGACCUGAGAGGGUGAUCGGCCACACUGGAACUGAGACACGGUCCAGACUCCUACGGGAGGCAGCAGUAGGGAAUCUUCCGCAAUGGGCGAAAGCCUGACGGAGCAACGCCGCGUGAGUGAUGAAGGUCUUCGGAUCGUAAAACUCUGUUAUUAGGGAAGAACAAAUGUGUAAUUAACUAUGCACGUCUUGACGGUACCUAAUCAGAAAGCCACGGCUAACUACGUG